GACGAACGCUGUCGGCGUGCUUAACACAUGCAAGUCGAACGAUGAAGCCCAGCUUGCUGGGCGGAUUAGUGGCGAACGGGUGAGUAAUACGUGAGUAACCUGCCUUUAACUCUGGGAUAAGCCUUGGAAACGGGGUCUAAUACCGGAUACGACCAACCCUCGCAUGGGGUGUUGGUGGAAAGGGAUUUUGUACUGGUUUUAGAUGGGCUCACGGCCUAUCAGCUUGUUGGUGAGGUAACGGCUCACCAAGGCGACGACGGGUAGCCGGCCUGAGAGGAUGACCGGCCACACUGGGACUGAGACACGGCCCAGACUCCUACGGGAGGCAGCAGUGGGGAAUAUUGCACAAUGGGCGCAAGCCUGAUGCAGCGACGCCGCGUGAGGGAUGACGGCCUUCGGGUUGUAAACCUCUUUCAGCAGGGGAGAAGCGAAAGUGACGGUACCUGCAGAAGAAGCGCCGGCUAACUACGUGCCAGCAGCCGCGGUAAUACGUAGGGCGCGAGCGUUGUCCGGAAUUAUUGGGCGUAAAGAGCUUGUAGGCGGUUUGUCGCGUCUGCUGUGAAAGCCCGGGGCUUAACCCCGGGUUUGCAGUGGGUACGGGCAGACUAGAGUGCAGUAGGGGAGACUGGAAUUCCUGGUGUAGCGGUGAAAUGCGCAGAUAUCAGGAGGAACACCAAUGGCGAAGGCAGGUCUCUGGGCUGUAACUGACGCUGAGAAGCGAAAGCAUGGGGAGCGAACAGGAUUAGAUACCCUGGUAGUCCAUGCCGUAAACGUUGGGCACUAGGUGUGGGGAACAUUCCACGUUUUCCGCGCCGUAGCUAACGCAUUAAGUGCCCCGCCUGGGGAGUACGGCCGCAAGGCUAAAACUCAAAGAAAUUGACGGGGGCCCGCACAAGCGGCGGAGCAUGCGGAUUAAUUCGAUGCAACGCGAAGAACCUUACCAAGGCUUGACAUAUACUAGAUCGCCUCAGAGAUGGGGUUUCCCUUCGGGGCUGGUAUACAGGUGGUGCAUGGUUGUCGUCAGCUCGUGUCGUGAGAUGUUGGGUUAAGUCCCGCAACGAGCGCAACCCUCGUUCUAUGUUGCCAGCACGUAAUGGUGGGGACUCAUAGGAGACUGCCGGGGUUAACUCGGAGGAAGGUGGGGAUGACGUCAAAUCAUCAUGCCCCUUAUGUCUUGGGCUUCACGCAUGCUACAAUGGCCGGUACAAAGGGUUGCGAUACUGUGAGGUUGAGCUAAUCCCAAAAAGCCGGUCUCAGUUCGGAUUGGGGUCUGCAACUCGACCCCAUGAAGUCGGAGUCGCUAGUAAUCGCAGAUCAGCAACGCUGCGGUGAAUACGUUCCCGGGCCU
RNAcentral lists this ribosomal RNA (1348 nucleotides) under uncultured bacterium. RNAcentral's name for it is "bacterial SSU rRNA". It matches the Rfam family "Bacterial small subunit ribosomal RNA", at positions 28 to 1381 of the family's 1533-position model. The record is from RNAcentral.